Molecule: ribosomal RNA, 158 nt
Filed under: Escherichia coli
Lineage: Bacteria; Pseudomonadati; Pseudomonadota; Gammaproteobacteria; Enterobacterales; Enterobacteriaceae
Description: partial 16S ribosomal RNA
Rfam family: Bacterial small subunit ribosomal RNA
Source: RNAcentral
ACACACCGCCCGUCACACCACGAGAGUUUGUAACACCCGAAGUCGGUAGGGUAACCUUUAUGGAGCCAGCCGCCGAAGGUGGGACAGAUAAUUGGGGUGAAGUCGUAACAAGGUAGCCGUAUCGGAAGGUGCGGCUGGAUCACCUCCUUUCUAAGGAA